UGGGGAAUUUUGGACAAUGGGGGAAACCCUGAUCCAGCCAUCCCGCGUGUGCGAUGAAGGCCUUCGGGUUGUAAAGCACUUUUGGCAGGAAAGAAACGUCAUGGGCUAAUACCCAGUGAAACUGACGGUACCUGCAGAAUAAGCACCGGCUAACUACGUGCCAGCAGCCGCGGUAAUACGUAGGGUGCAAGCGUUAAUCGGAAUUACUGGGCGUAAAGCGUGCGCAGGCGGUUCGGAAAGAAAGAUGUGAAAUCCCAGAGCUCAACUUUGGAACUGCAUUUUUAACUACCGGGCUAGAGUGUGUCAGAGGGAGGUGGAAUUCCGCGUGUAGCAGUGAAAUGCGUAGAUAUGCGGAGGAACACCGAUGGCGAAGGCAGCCUCCUGGGAUAACACUGACGCUCAUGCACGAAAGCGUGGGGAGCAAACAGG
Molecule: ribosomal RNA, 429 nt
Filed under: Acidobacteriota bacterium
Lineage: Bacteria; Pseudomonadati; Acidobacteriota
Description: Acidobacteria bacterium partial 16S ribosomal RNA
Rfam family: Bacterial small subunit ribosomal RNA
Source: RNAcentral